Molecule: ribosomal RNA, 1502 nt
Filed under: uncultured bacterium
Lineage: Bacteria
Description: bacterial SSU rRNA
Rfam family: Bacterial small subunit ribosomal RNA
Source: RNAcentral
UAGAGUUUGAUCCUGGCUCAGAUUGAACCCUUGCGGCAUGCCUUACACAUGCAAGUCGAACGGCAGCAUGGGUGCUUGCACCUGAUGGCGAGUGGCGAACGGGUGAGUAAUGCGUCGGAACGUACCCGGAAGUGGGGGAUAACGUAGCGAAAGUUACGCUAAUACCGCAUAUUCUGUGAGCAGGAAAGCGGGGGAUCGCAAGACCUCGCGCUUCCGGAGCGGCCGAUGUCGGAUUGGCUAGUUGGCGGGGUAAAGGCCCACCAAGGCAACGAUCCGUAGCUGGUCUGAGAGGAUGAUCCGCCACACUGGGACUGAGACACGGCCCAGACUCCUACGGGAGGCAGCAGUGGGGAAUUUUGGACAAUGGGGGCAACCCUGAUCCAGCCAUGCCGCGUGAGUGAAGAAGGCCUUCGGGUUGUAAAGCUCUUUCGGCUGGGAAGAAAUCGCAUCUCCUAAUACGGGGUGUGGAUGACGGUACCAGCAUAAGAAGCACCGGCUAACUACGUGCCAGCAGCCGCGGUAAUACGUAGGGUGCGAGCGUUAAUCGGAAUUACUGGGCGUAAAGCGUGCGCAGGCGGUUUCGUAAGACAGAGGUGAAAUCCCCGGGCUCAACCUGGGAACUGCCUUUGUGACUGCGAGGCCAGAGUAUGGCAGAGGGGGGUGGAAUUCCACGUGUAGCAGUGAAAUGCGUAGAGAUGUGGAGGAACACCGAUGGCGAAGGCAGCCCCCUGGGCCAAUACUGACGCUCAUGCACGAAAGCGUGGGGAGCAAACAGGAUUAGAUACCCUGGUAGUCCACGCCCUAGACGAUGUCAACUAGGUGUUGGGAGGGUUAAACCUUUUAGUACCGUAGCUAACGCGUGAAGUUGACCGCCUGGGGAGUACGGCCGCAAGGUUAAAACUCAAAGGAAUUGACGGGGACCCGCACAAGCGGUGGAUGAUGUGGAUUAAUUCGAUGCAACGCGAAAAACCUUACCUACCCUUGACAUGCCAGGAACUUGCCAGAGAUGGCUUGGUGCCCGAAAGGGAACCUGGACACAGGUGCUGCAUGGCUGUCGUCAGCUCGUGUCGUGAGAUGUUGGGUUAAGUCCCGCAACGAGCGCAACCCUUGUCAUUAGUUGCCAUCAUUUAGUUGGGCACUCUAAUGAGACUGCCGGUGACAAACCGGAGGAAGGUGGGGAUGACGUCAAGUCCUCAUGGCCCUUAUGGGUAGGGCUUCACACGUCAUACAAUGGUCGGUACAGAGGGUUGCCAAGCCGCGAGGUGGAGCCAAUCCCAGAAAGCCGAUCGUAGUCCGGAUUGUAGUCUGCAACUCGACUACGUGAAGUCGGAAUCGCUAGUAAUCGCGGAUCAGCAUGUCGCGGUGAAUACGUUCCCGGGUCUUGUACACACCGCCCGUCACACCAUGGGAGCGGGUUCUACCAGAAGCAGUUAGCCUAACCGCAAGGGGGGCGAUUGCCACGGUAGGAUUCGUGACUGGGGUGAAGUCGUAACAAAGGACCA